Molecule: ribosomal RNA, 254 nt
Filed under: uncultured bacterium
Lineage: Bacteria
Description: partial 16S ribosomal RNA
Rfam family: Bacterial small subunit ribosomal RNA
Source: RNAcentral
UACGUAGGGUGCGAGCGUUAAUCGGAAUUACUGGGCGUAAAGCGUGCGCAGGCGGUUUUGUAAGCCAGAUGUGAAAUCCCCGGGCUCAACCUGGGAAUGGCAUUUGGGACUGCAAGGCUGGAGUGUGGCAGAGGAGACUGGAAUUCCUGGUGUAGCAGUGAAAUGCGUAGAUAUCAGGAGGAAUACCGAUGGCGAAGGCAGGUCUCUGGGCUGACACUGACGCUCAUGCACGAAAGGCGUGGGGAGCAAACAGG